AUGUUGGAGGCGAUAUGUUUGAUGAUGUUCCAGUUGCAGAUGCAGUUUACUGAAGUGGAUAUUACACGAUUGGAAUGAUGAUAAAUGCUUGAAGAUUUUGAAGCGAUGUAAAGAGUCUAUUUCAAAUCAAGCCAAAGGAGUGAUGAUAAAAAAGAAGGUGAUUAUAAUAGACAUGGUAUUGAUGGAAAAUGAUAAAGCGAAUGAUGAAACCUCGAAAUCGAUCGAAACGCAGCUGUUCUUCGACAUGUUGAUGAUGGUGCUGCAUACAGGUAGAGAGAGGCGGGAAGAAGAAUGGUCUAAGUUAUUUUCUGCGGCGGGUUUCAGCGACUAUAAAAUUACUCCUAUACUGGGUUUAAGAUCUCUCAUUGAAGUUUACCCUUAAUUAAAAAAGUUGUUCAUGUUGUUUUUAUUUAAUUUCCCUGCGUCCACUUCUGUUUAUCAAAUAAAUAUGAUUGUGUAUGGAACAUAAUAUGAUAUUUGAAUUUAAGUGUAUUUGGGUGUAAUUA
Molecule: long non-coding RNA, 506 nt
Organism: Hibiscus syriacus
Lineage: Eukaryota; Viridiplantae; Streptophyta; Magnoliopsida; Malvales; Malvaceae
Exons: 2
Source: RefSeq, a predicted model, not a curated record